GUGUGACUGCGUACCUUUUGUAUAAUGGGUCAGCGACUUAUAUUCUGUAGCAAGGUUAACCGAAUAGGGGAGCCGAAGGGAAACCGAGUCUUAACUGGGCGUUAAGUUGCAGGGUAUAGACCCGAAACCCGGUGAUCUAGCCAUGGGCAGGUUGAAGGUUGGGUAACACUAACUGGAGGACCGAACCGACUAAUGUUGAAAAAUUAGCGGAUGACUUGUGGCUGGGGGUGAAAGGCCAAUCAAACCGGGAGAUAGCUGGUUCUCCCCGAAAGCUAUUUAGGUAGCGCCUCGUGAAUUCAUCUCCGGGGGUAGAGCACUGUUUCGGCAAGGGGGUCAUCCCGACUUACCAACCCGAUGCAAACUGCGAAUACCGGAGAAUGUUAUCACGGGAGACACACGGCGGGUGCUAACGUCCGUCGUGAAGAGGGAAACAACCCAGACCGCCAGCUAAGGUCCCAAAGUCAUGGUUAAGUGGGAAACGAUGUGGGAAGGCCCAGACAGCCAGGAUGUUGGCUUAGAAGCAGCCAUCAUUUAAAGAAAGCGUAAUAGCUCACUGGUCGAGUCGGCCUGCGCGGAAGAUGUAACGGGGCUAAACCAUGCACCGAAGCUGCGGCAGCGACGCUUAUGCGUUGUUGGGUAGGGGAGCGUUCUGUAAGCCUGUGAAGGUGUACUGUGAGGUAUGCUGGAGGUAUCAGAAGUGCGAAUGCUGACAUAAGUAACGAUAAAGCGGGUGAAAAGCCCGCUCGCCGGAAGACC
This 756-nucleotide ribosomal RNA is filed under the name Escherichia coli. RNAcentral's name for it is "partial 23S ribosomal RNA". It matches the Rfam family "Bacterial large subunit ribosomal RNA", at positions 591 to 1346 of the family's 2925-position model. Lineage: Bacteria; Pseudomonadati; Pseudomonadota; Gammaproteobacteria; Enterobacterales; Enterobacteriaceae. The record is from RNAcentral.